Molecule: ribosomal RNA, 320 nt
Filed under: uncultured bacterium
Lineage: Bacteria
Description: bacterial SSU rRNA
Rfam family: Bacterial small subunit ribosomal RNA
Source: RNAcentral
GACGAACGCUGGCGGCGUGCUUAACACAUGCAAGUCGAGCGGUAAGGCCCUUUCGGGGGUACACGAGCGGCGAACGGGUGAGUAACACGUGGGUGACCUGCCUCUAGCUCUGGGAUAAGCCUGGGAAACUGGGUCUAAUACCGGAUAUGACUCCACGGCGCAUGUUGUGGGGUGGAAAGCCUUGUGUGGCUAGAGAUGGGCCCGCGGCCUAUCAGCUUGUUGGUGGGGUGAUGGCCUACCAAGGCGACGACGGGUAGCCGGCCUGAGAGGGCGACCGGCCACACUGGGACUGAGACACGGCCCAGACUCCUACGGGAGGC